This 460-nucleotide ribosomal RNA is filed under the name uncultured bacterium. Its description in RNAcentral is "SSU rRNA". It matches the Rfam family "Bacterial small subunit ribosomal RNA", at positions 26 to 518 of the family's 1533-position model. The record is from RNAcentral.
AGAGCGAACGCUGGCGGCAGGCCUAAUACAUGCAAGUCGAACGGACCCUUCGGGGUUAGUGGCGGACGGGUGAGUAACACGUGGGAACGUGCCCUUUGGUUCGGAACAACUCAGGGAAACUUGAGCUAAUACCGAAUGUGCCCCCAUCCUUAAACAAGAUGGGCGGGAAAGAUUUAUCGCCAUUGGAGCGGCCCGCGUCUGAUUAGCUAGUUGGUGAGGUAAAGGCUCACCAAGGCGACGAUCAGUAGCUGGUCUGAGAGGAUGAUCAGCCACACUGGGACUGAGACACGGCCCAGACUCCUACGGGAGGCAGCAGUAGGGAAUCUUGCGCAAUGGGCGAAAGCCUGACGCAGCCAUGCCGCGUGAAUGAUGAAGGUCUUAGGAUUGUAAAAUUCUUUCAGCGGGACGAUAAUGACGGUACCCGCAGAAGAAGCCCGGCUAACUUCGUGCCAGCAGCCGC